Molecule: ribosomal RNA, 468 nt
Filed under: uncultured bacterium
Lineage: Bacteria
Description: partial 16S ribosomal RNA
Rfam family: Bacterial small subunit ribosomal RNA
Source: RNAcentral
GACGAACGCUGGCGGUGUGCUUAACACAUGCAAGUCGAACGGUAAGGCCCCUUCGGGGGUACACGAGUGGCGAACGGGUGAGUAACACGUGAGUAACCUGCCCUCAUCUCUGGGAUAACAGUCGGAAACGGUUGCUAAUACUGGAUAUGAGCUUGCAAGGCAUCUUGUGGGUUGGAAAGAUUUUUUUUGGUUGGGGAUGGACUCGCGGCCUAUCAGCUUGUUGGUGAGGUAGUGGCUCACCAAGGCUUCGACGGGUAGCCGGCCUGAGAGGGCGACCGGCCACAUUGGGACUGAGAUACGGCCCAAACUCCUACGGGAGGCAGCAGUGGGGAAUAUUGCACAAUGGACGGAAGUCUGAUGCAGCAACGCCGCGUGCGGGAUGACGGCCUUCGGGUUGUAAACCGCUUUCAAUUGUGACGAAGCUUUUUUGUGACGGUAGCAGUAGAAGAAGCACCGGCUAACUACGUG